Long non-coding RNA from Frankliniella occidentalis (western flower thrips), 477 nucleotides. RefSeq lists it as uncharacterized. NCBI's taxonomy places the organism in Eukaryota, Metazoa, Arthropoda, Insecta, Thysanoptera, Thripidae. The transcript is spliced from 3 exons. The record is from RefSeq and is a predicted model, not a curated record.
AGGUGCCGUCACCGGCCCACACCCUGAAGGACUACGCGUCGUGAACUUUUGACUGACUGCGUAAUCGUAAUAAAAUAGAAGAUUGUUUUAAAAGAGUAAGAGAGGUAACGUAAAUACGGUAAAUGUCUCGUUCCGAUUCUCUAACAACGUUAGUUUGUUUACUUUGCACAUCUAGCCUCUCUCCGCACACACGUGGCCCGCUGGUGACAGACACGUCUGGACAGUCAAGUCGUGCGUGGAAACGACAAAUUCUUUACUGGAUAGUUAAAGGAUAAAUUAAAUUAGGUUGAAGACCGUCCAUGAGUUGCAUCUGCGCUUGACAUAUCAGCUACGCAGCCGUCAGCUGUCACCCAAUGUAUGCUGAGUCGGCGUCACAGCACACAGCAUGAGAAAUGGCCCCUUUUUCUCGUGAUCAUAGGAAGGAAUGAAUCUGGUAUUGAGAUUUGCCCCAAGUCACCAGCAGAAACAAGCCAGCUA